AGUGCACGCCUGCAGGGGGGAUGAGAACCCCCGACCGGGGUUCGACAACUUGCGACAGCCAGUUGGACAGACCACGAACGCAGUGAGUGGGCUGCCCGAAGGGCGAGCGAAGCGAGUCAAUCCCCCCCUCACCGCCA
RNAcentral lists this small RNA (137 nucleotides) under Leclercia barmai. RNAcentral's name for it is "RtT sRNA". It matches the Rfam family "RtT RNA". From Rfam's summary of the family: This family represents a bacterial cis-regulatory element known as RtT RNA. The exact function of RtT is unknown although it is thought that it may be involved in changing the cellular response in relation to amino acid starvation. The record is from RNAcentral. RNAcentral also lists the same sequence under 2 other names. Lineage: Bacteria; Pseudomonadati; Pseudomonadota; Gammaproteobacteria; Enterobacterales; Enterobacteriaceae.